GUCGAACAACAAGCGUCCGAACAGCGGUGCGUUGAAAGCAGGAACUUGCUGGCUGGAGGGCGCGAGUGGUCAUGUCUGCUUAUGACUUUGUUUCCCCGCCUAUGGGCCGCAUAGAAUAAACAAUGGUGGGCAUACCCUUGCCUAUGACCAUGUUUAUUUACCCAUAGUACGAAUAUACAUUGUUCGACCAAACAUGGCCAACAAUGACGCAACGAGGUAACCG
This 223-nucleotide long non-coding RNA is filed under the name Helianthus annuus (common sunflower). RNAcentral describes it as "hypothetical non coding rna". The record is from RNAcentral. Lineage: Eukaryota; Viridiplantae; Streptophyta; Magnoliopsida; Asterales; Asteraceae.